CUCCCCCCGGCGGGCGCGCGGCUGGGGAGGAGGCGGUGCCUGUGUCCGCGCUAGAGGUUGUGUCGUUCCUUGGCAAGCUGCUCUGCGCAGUCGCGGCGCUGAAGGCGGCUCUGUACCUCCUCCGCCGAGUGUGUCUAGCGAUGGCCUGGAAGUCGGGAGGCUCCAGCCACUCCGAGCUCAUCCACAACCUGCGCAAAAAUGGAAUAAUCAAAUCAGAUAAAGUAUAUGAAGUAAUGCUGGCUACAGACCGUUGCCACUAUGCAAAAUGCAACCCUUAUAUGGACUCUCCUCAAUCAAUAGGUUUCCAAGCAACUAUCAGUGCCCCACACAUGCAUGCGUAUGCUCUAGAACUGCUAUCUGAACAGUUACAUGAAGGAGCCAAAGCCCUUGAUGUAGGAUCGGGAAGUGGAAUUCUUACAGCAUGUUUUUCACGGAUGGUUGGUCUCCAAGGACGAGUUGUAGGAAUUGAUCAUAUCAAAGAGUUAGUAGAUGACUCAAUAAAUAAUGUCAAAAAGGAUGAUUCUACAUUACUGUCUUCAGGAAGAGUGAAACUGAUUGUGGGGGAUGGAAGAAUGGGAUAUCCAGAAGAAGCUCCCUAUGAUGCUAUUCAUGUCGGAGCUGCAGCCCCGGUUGUGCCCCAAGCACUCAUAGACCAAUUAAAACCUGGUGGAAGAUUGAUAUUACCAGUCGGCCCUGCAGGUGGAAACCAGAUGCUGGAACAAUAUGAUAAACUAGAAGAUGGCAGUGUCAAAAUGAAGCCUUUGAUGGGAGUGAUAUAUGUGCCUUUAACAGAUAAAGAGAAGCAAUGGUCCAGGUGGAAGUGAUUUUCUGUUCCACUUUCUUCUUCCACAGAUACACGCAUACAAGCCUUUUGUACAGGUACCGAGAAUAAUUGGACCAUAAUUUCAAACAAGUCUCUCUCCAGUAAAUGGCCCAAUGUGUAAGACAGUCACUUCUUCAGACAACAGGGAUGAAUUGUAAAAGCUACAUCAUCUUGACCCAAACAUAGUGUUACAGUGGACUUCCCAUCUACAGUUCUAAAAGCUUUUUGAAAACCAACAGCAUUGCAGCUUGUUUUGGAUUUUGUUAUACUGUUAUCAGCAUGGAAAAGUGUGGUGUUUUUAUUUCAUUUUUUUUUUAGAGGCUUAAGGAAAAUUUGGCAAAGAAUUGAUGGAAAGUUUAAAUUUGGGCUGUUUUGUUUUUAACAUGCCUUUUUAAAUUUCAUCUUGUUAAAGAAAUGAAUUUCUGCAAAAAUGCGAAGACCUACAGUUUGUGAACUCUUUAAUUUUGAUGGCUGAUACUUUUUGAACACUUUAUUUCAGCUCCAUUGUUCCUUGGUAAAAUUGCUUCUGUGCACCUUAUAACACUACAUACACAAUGGCAGGUUCUCUAUGUUCAGAUGUCUGCUAAAUGUUACUAAGAAAAUGAGAUGAACUUCCUUUUUAAAGCUUGUGACACGGUGUCAUAGACUAGCAUGUAGUAAAUACAAUCAGCUGCGUUAUUAUCUUAAAAGUGGGCAUUUGUAUAUAUUAAACUUCAAGACAUCAGAGGUGACAGCUCUUGUUAUAAACUCUAUGGUUCAGGUUGGACAUAACUGACAUAGUUUUUUCCUUCCUUGUCAAGAAAUUUAGAGGAAACUUGUAGCUCAGUAUUGUUUUGUAGCUCACUGCUGAUAUGUAUAUGAAUUUAGCAUAACAAAUACUGUGUAAGCUAUGUCCUAAUCACUGAACAGUUUAUGCAGUGCUGCUUUGCCAAAUAAAGUUAAAAGCAAAAA
Dermochelys coriacea (leatherback sea turtle) is the source of this 1774-nucleotide RNA transcript. It is a transcript of the gene named protein-L-isoaspartate (D-aspartate) O-methyltransferase, with no coding region annotated. The transcript is spliced from 9 exons. Lineage: Eukaryota; Metazoa; Chordata; Testudines; Dermochelyidae. The record is from RefSeq and is a predicted model, not a curated record.